UACGUAGGGGGCGAGCGUUAAUCGGAAUUACUGGGCGUAAAGUGUGCGCAGGCGGCCGAGCAAGUCGAGUGUGAAAGCCCCGAGCUUAACUUGGGAACUGCGCUCGAAACUACUUGGCUAGAGUGUGGCAGAGGGAGGUGGAAUUCCACGUGUAGCGGUGAAAUGCGUAGAGAUGUGGAGGAACACCGAUGGCGAAGGCAGCCCCCUGGGUUAACACUGACGCUCAUGCACGAAAGCGUGGGGAGCAAACAGG
RNAcentral lists this ribosomal RNA (253 nucleotides) under uncultured bacterium. RNAcentral describes it as "partial 16S ribosomal RNA". It matches the Rfam family "Bacterial small subunit ribosomal RNA", at positions 524 to 776 of the family's 1533-position model. The record is from RNAcentral.